AUGUGGCGUCAUCAAGGAAUCCAAAUACCUGAGCAAGCAGCCUCCGAACUAGCAACACUCGAAUCUAAUGAUAGUCAAUCAGACAUCAUUAGAGCAGCAGCAAAGGAAGCUAGGCGGAAAAGGAAAGAGAUCCUCCAGCUGAAAAAGACAAGCAAACGACUAAGGACAGAAAAGGGCAAUAACUGUGAAGUAUCUAAUGUAGCGAAGGAUGUUACUCAAGUUUCAUAUCUGGGAAAACCAAAUUGUGUUUGUGAAUUUUGCAAUGCCAUUAUGUGGCAUGGAGAGAGAAGCACAAGCACAGGUAACAUCACAGUUCCAAAAUUUGGUCUCUGCUGCAAGGAAGGGAAAGUUAAAUUACCACCACUGAAACAAGCUCCGCUGUAUCUCCGACAGCUACUACGUUACAAUGAAAGAGGAGAAUCAUCAAAUUUCCGCCAGAACAUCAGGUUGUACAACUCGAUGUUCGCAUUCACUUCAAUGGGAGGAAAGGUUGACUAUGAAAUUAAUAAGCAGGCAUCUGGACCGUAUGUUUUCCGUUUGAAUGGCCAGAAUUACCAUCAGAUUGGCACUUUACUUCCUAAAGAUGACGUGACGAAACCAAAAUUUGCCCAAUUGUACAUACAUGACACAGAAAAUGAAGUGCGGAAUAGGAUUAAUGCAUCAGCUUCAACGGAGAGUAAGACACAACCAGAUGAAAACAUUGUCAAAGGACUACUGGAGAUGCUUGAUGAGCACAAUGUUUUAGUCAAAUCAUUUCGUAUGGCAAGGGACAGAUUCCAAAACCGACGUAUUAAAGAUGUAAGACUAAGAUUGAUCAACAAAAGGUCGAAAGAUGGACGGCAAUACAACCUACCAUCUGCCUCAGAAGUCGCAGCACUAAUUAUUGGGGAACAAGAUGGAGAAAAUAAUGAAUUUGAUAUAAUAGUUGAGACCAAAGACAGAAUGUUACAGAGGAUUUCAGAGUUGCACCCAAGCUAUAUGUCAAUGCAGUACCCCUUGCUUUUUCCAUAUGGAGAAGAUGGUUUCAGACCAGAAAUAGAGUAUGAAAAUAAAAGAGGCAGCAAAGGUAAAAGAAAGUAUGUAACAAUGCUGGAGUUUUAUGCGUAUCGCAUACAACAACGUCUGAACCAAGCUUCAACAUUGCAAAUGAGUGGACGUUUGUUCCUGCAGUUCUUAGUUGAUGCAGCAACGUGCAUUGAACAGUGGAGACUAAAUUGGUACAGGACAAACCAAGGUAAGUUGAGGACAGAACUGUACAGAGGACUGCAUGAUGCAAUAGAAAAUGGAGAUACACGAACCGAACAAGUUGGACAAAGAAUCAUACUACCCUCAUCAUAUAAUGGCAGUCCAAGAAAUAAGCAGCAAAACUACCAAGAUGCCAUGGCGAUUUGUCGUUGGGCUGGCUAUCCUGAUCUCUUCAUUACUUUUACAUGCAAUCCAAAAUGGCCGGAAAUACAAGAUAUGUUGGAUCUGAUUCCAGGCCAGAAACCUGAAGAUCAUCCAGAUAUUGUUGCCAGAGUAUUCAUGUUCAAACUGAAGGAACUUAUGAAUGACAUAAAGAACGGGAAGUGA
RNAcentral lists this ribosomal RNA (1572 nucleotides) under Triticum aestivum (bread wheat). Its description in RNAcentral is "partial small subunit ribosomal RNA". Lineage: Eukaryota; Viridiplantae; Streptophyta; Magnoliopsida; Poales; Poaceae. The record is from RNAcentral.